Molecule: ribosomal RNA, 464 nt
Filed under: uncultured bacterium
Lineage: Bacteria
Description: partial 16S ribosomal RNA
Rfam family: Bacterial small subunit ribosomal RNA
Source: RNAcentral
GACGAACGCUGGCGGCGUGCUUAACACAUGCAAGUCGAACGGAAGGGCCCCUUGUGGGGUACUCGAGUGGCGAACGGGUGAGUAACACGUGAGUAACCUACCCUUGACUUUGGGAUAACUUCAGGAAACUGGGGCUAAUACCGGAUAGGAGCUCCUGCUGCAUGGUGGGGGUUGGAAAGUUUCGGCGGUUGGGGAUGGGCUCGCGGCUUAUCAGCUUGUUGGUGGGGUAGUGGCUCACCAAGGCUUUGACGGGUAGCCGGCCUGAGAGGGUGACCGGCCACAUUGGGACUGAGAUACGGCCCAGACUCCUACGGGAGGCAGCAGUGGGGAAUAUUGCACAAUGGGCGGAAGCCUGAUGCAGCAACGCCGCGUGCGGGAUGACGGCCUUCGGGUUGUAAACCGCUUUCGCCUGUGACGAAGCGUGAGUGACGGUAAUGGGUAAAGAAGCACCGGCUAACUACGUG